This 465-nucleotide ribosomal RNA is filed under the name uncultured bacterium. RNAcentral's name for it is "partial 16S ribosomal RNA". It matches the Rfam family "Bacterial small subunit ribosomal RNA", at positions 28 to 507 of the family's 1533-position model. The record is from RNAcentral.
GACGAACGCUGGCGGCGUGCUUAACACAUGCAAGUCGUACGGUAAGGCCCUUUCGGGGGUACACGAGUGGCGAACGGGUGAGUAACACGUGCGUAACCUGCCCACAACUUUGGGAUAACGCUAGGAAACUGGUGCUAAUACUGGAUAUGUGCUCCUGCUGCAUGGUGGGGGUUGGAAAGCUCCGGCGGUUGUGGAUGGACUCGCGGCCUAUCAGCUUGUUGGUGGGGUAGUGGCCUACCAAGGCGGCGACGGGUAGCCGGCCUGAGAGGGUGACCGGCCACAUUGGGACUGAGAUACGGCCCAGACUCCUACGGGAGGCAGAAGGGGGGAAUAUUGAACAAUGGGCGCAAGCCUGAUGCAGCAACGCCGCGUGCGGGAUGACGGCCUUCGGGUUGUAAACCGCGUUCAGCAGGGACGAAGCUUUUUGUGACGGUACCUGCAGAAGAAGCACCGGCUAACUACGUG